CCACGGACCCCACCCCCGGG
This 20-nucleotide ribosomal RNA is filed under the name Musa acuminata (dwarf banana). RNAcentral describes it as "partial 26S ribosomal RNA". The record is from RNAcentral. Lineage: Eukaryota; Viridiplantae; Streptophyta; Magnoliopsida; Zingiberales; Musaceae.